GUGUUGGCUGUUUCUUUGGAUACAUGCUCUUUCAGCAGUGAUAUAACAAUAGAAAACGUCUGGGAUCAAAUUAUGUGCUGUUACCUGAAGGCAUCCCACCAGUAGGAGAGUUAUUGGAUGCUCUGAAAUUCCUUCUGACCCCUCUGUUCCUUAAUAAGCCUGCACACAACUUCCUCUGAGGAUGGGCCAAGUAUUGCUCCAUUAGUAUGCAGCACCACAGUCAGCAGGGCGGGGAAAACACACACCAGGAGGAGAGAAAAGAGAUGAAAAGCAGCAGGAGCAAAGUAAACGCUUUUAAAUUCUGAACAGAAACUUCCCUCCACUGAGAUUCCUGCAGGUCUGUGGUGUCGUGACGACACGUAAAAUAUUCUGAGGUGAGAGGAAGGUUGGUCCAUUUACUCAGGUUCUCUUUCUGUUAAAAAAUGAAGCCUAGACUGGGAGACAAGGAAUACUUGUUAUUAUGAGACUAGGAGUCAAAAAUCAUGGCAACGGACAUGGAGUCACAAUCCUAAAAUCUGAAAGUAUUCUAAUCCAUAAAGCUGUUGUGAAAAUGAUCAUUCUGGUUUUCUGGUGUUUAGCAGUGUGCUAGAUGCUCCACUCUGCAUUGUUUGUCCUAUAUGCAGCAAUAUCUUCAGUUCCCAGACACUACCUCACCUGGCAACCCUGCAGCACUUACAUCAGCUUAGGGCCUGUGCCAGAUUUUCUCCUUCAUAAUCCACAACCCUGCCAAAAAAUAAGGACACUGUGUUCAACUUACACCUAUAAAUAUCAUCUAUGUGAAUUUAUUUUUAUAUUAAUUCAUUUAUUUAUGUGAAGGACAGUAGGUUGUUUAGCAUCCAGUUUCUUGGGCAGCACAGAGAUCAACACAGACCCAACUUCAGCUACUUCCUCCUUUAUGGCCAGGUGGGAAAUGAACACACACAUUCAUGCUUCUGCACAGCAACAGACACUACCAUGGUUGCACAGGAGUUUUAUUUACACUUUUUAAAGCAUUUUGUUUGUUUAUCUAUGGUUUUGCUUUUUACUAGUGAUAAAUACCGAAUAAUAGUGAUAAACAACAAAUCACAUUUACUUCUGUAUAUCCUAUUCCCACACUGUCAAGCAAGCAAAUAUGCCCAGUAUUUGAAGGCAUUGUGACUUUCUGAGACAGAGGUGACAGCAGCCUGAAAUUAUUCCUGUUCCUCUUAGCUGUCAACCAUUACACAGUCAGCUUCUUCAGGGAAUGAUGUGUUGCAUGGAGGCAAAAAAGAUCCACAGAUUUUCUUAUGAUUUAUUUGAUUUAGAGGACAUACCCCACAGGGCGCCCUCCAGGAUCAGGACUUUCCUCAAGAGUUUUCCUUUCAAGUCAGUGUUAACUUUAAGGUGUCACCACCUAUAGACAAACUAUUUGCUUUAGUCAGGGUUCUCUAUAACAAUGCACCAAAAGACGAGCUAAAGAUGGUGGUAAAUGCAUUCAAAUCCUCCCUUAUCAACCGCAAACGGUGUGGUGCAUAUGCUAAAACCAACGCAGCAGCAGGAAAGAGAAGAGUUAACUGUUUAAAAAAAACAUAUUAAGUGACACCUAAUUAAUGCUAAUCUCAAUUUUCUCUCUCUAUUUUUUCUUUUUUUUUUCUUUUUUUCUUUUCUCUCUUUUUUGUUUGUUUUUUGAUUUUAUUUUGUUUUGUUAUUUUGUUUCCCCAGGAGCAGUGAAAGUUUGAGGUGGGGGGAGGGUAAGAGGGAUCAGCCUACUGUUAAUUGCAUCUUGUUUAGCUGGGUCACUGCAGUUGACCUCAUUCAAAUCUGUGUUGCGGUGACCCUGGCUGGAUGUCAGAUGCCCACUGAAGCCACUCUUAUCACUCCCUUCUCAGCUGCGCAGGGGAGAGAAAAUAUAAUGAAAGGAUUUAAGGACAGGAAGAGAUCACUCACCAAUUAAUGCCAUGAUCAGAACAGAUCGGACAAGGAAAAUUAAUUUGAUUUAUUACCAAUCAAAUCAGAGUAGAACAGUGAGAAGUUAAACUAAAUCUUAAAAACACCUUCCAACCUCACUCCUGCUUUUCUCCACCUCCUCCCUGCAGUGGCCCAGGUUGAUGUGGAAUGGGGUUUGAGGUCAGUUCAUCACACAUUGUCUCUGCUGCUCCCUCCUCCUCAGGAACAGGACUCCUCACUCUCAUUCCCUGCUCCAGUGUGGGUUCUCUCCCGUGGGGAAUGGACCUCCAUGAACUUCUUGCAAAUCUUUUCCUGCCAACCAAGCUGCUGGCUUUUUAUCACAUGAGUUCCAGAAAGAAGCAGAGGAUUGCUGUCAGCUGGCUCCCGUCUGUUUUGCCAUGGAGGGAAGGGUGAGGUGCACAACACAGGACUUCUGCAACUGAGAGAAAAGAAGAAAAAUCAAGAACGAACAAAAUCACUGUCUCUGUGUGAGAAAUCUCUGGGUCUGUGUCUUCAUUGAAAGAAGCUUUAGCAACUUUAAGAAUAAAAUUCUGGCUCUCUUGACAAGACUGACACAUUUACAAGUGUAAAGGUAUAAUAUUCAGAGUACAUGAGGCUUUGUAGUUCAAUACACUGAACUUGGGGAACCUUGGUCCUGAUUAGACUGUACCUUACAUGUGAGGCACUUUGUUGUUGUCUUACUCUCUUUUGUUUUGCACAAAAAAAAUCAUGCCCAGGUUUCUGAUUUCAUGUCAGAAGUAACUGGCAGCAUUAGUGAUGUGGAUUUGAGCAAAGACUCUGCUUUCACUCAUGUUUGCAGUUGCCUACAGCAUAGUGAGGGCAUGGUCUGCACUCCUGAAAGGCCAAUUGUCCUUCACUGGCUCCCCUCAGUCCUUCUGGGUGCUCAUGAGGACAGGCAGGCUUGGCAAUAGGUGGUCCUAUUUCACACAAUUCAUUGUGAAAGAUUUGUCCCUGCUCCAAUACAAAUGGUCUGAAGUAUGUCCCCAAAUGUCCCUGCAAAAAAAUGAGGGGAAGACAGUGCUGCUACAGAUGUGAUCAUUCAGGUUGCUCAGAGGGUGACUUGGCUGCUGGAGGGAUGAGGGCUAGGUGCCAUCUGCAUCUGCCCAGUUUAACUCCACAAAGUUAUGUUAACCUAAACGGAGAAAAUAAUUUAAAAGUAAAGCAAGGAAACAUUCUUUUUAGGAACACUGAACAUAGCAGAAUGUAACAAUUUCAUUGUCUAGUCCUCAAUUCCCAGUUUGAAUGCAUUACUGCAUAUUUCCCAAAACAGGGAUCUUACACAUAAAUUCA
Long non-coding RNA from Parus major (Great Tit), 3216 nucleotides. RefSeq lists it as uncharacterized. Lineage: Eukaryota; Metazoa; Chordata; Aves; Passeriformes; Paridae. The transcript has 3 exons. The record is from RefSeq and is a predicted model, not a curated record.